GGAGAGUUUGAUCCUGGCUCAGGAUGAACGCUGGCGGCGUGCCUAAUACAUGCAAGUCGAGCGAACGGACGAGAAGCUUGCUUCUCUGAUGUUAGCGGCGGACGGGUGAGUAACACGUGGAUAACCUACCUAUAAGACUGGGAUAACUUCGGGAAACCGGAGCUAAUACCGGAUAAUAUUUUGAACCGCAUGGUUCAAAAGUGAAAGACGGUCUUGCUGUCACUUAUAGAUGGAUCCGCGCUGCAUUAGCUAGUUGGUAAGGUAACGGCUUACCAAGGCAACGAUGCAUAGCCGACCUGAGAGGGUGAUCGGCCACACUGGAACUGAGACACGGUCCAGACUCCUACGGGAGGCAGCAGUAGGGAAUCUUCCGCAAUGGGCGAAAGCCUGACGGAGCAACGCCGCGUGAGUGAUGAAGGUCUUCGGAUCGUAAAACUCUGUUAUUAGGGAAGAACAUAUGUGUAAGUAACUGUGCACAUCUUGACGGUACCUAAUCAGAAAGCCACGGCUAACUACGUGCCAGCAGCCGCGGUAAUACGUAGGUGGCAAGCGUUAUCCGGAAUUAUUGGGCGUAAAGCGCGCGUAGGCGGUUUUUUAAGUCUGAUGUGAAAGCCCACGGCUCAACCGUGGAGGGUCAUUGGAAACUGGAAAACUUGAGUGCAGAAGAGGAAAGUGGAAUUCCAUGUGUAGCGGUGAAAUGCGCAGAGAUAUGGAGGAACACCAGUGGCGAAGGCGACUUUCUGGUCUGUAACUGACGCUGAUGUGCGAAAGCGUGGGGAUCAAACAGGAUUAGAUACCCUGGUAGUCCACGCCGUAAACGAUGAGUGCUAAGUGUUAGGGGGUUUCCGCCCCUUAGUGCUGCAGCUAACGCAUUAAGCACUCCGCCUGGGGAGUACGACCGCAAGGUUGAAACUCAAAGGAAUUGACGGGGACCCGCACAAGCGGUGGAGCAUGUGGUUUAAUUCGAAGCAACGCGAAGAACCUUACCAAAUCUUGACAUCCUUUGACAACUCUAGAGAUAGAGCCUUCCCCUUCGGGGGACAAAGUGACAGGUGGUGCAUGGUUGUCGUCAGCUCGUGUCGUGAGAUGUUGGGUUAAGUCCCGCAACGAGCGCAACCCUUAAGCUUAGUUGCCAUCAUUAAGUUGGGCACUCUAAGUUGACUGCCGGUGACAAACCGGAGGAAGGUGGGGAUGACAUCAAAUCAUCAUGCCCCUUAUGAUUUGGGCUACACACGUGCUACAAUGGACAAUACAAAGGGCAGCGAAACCGCGAGGUCAAGCAAAUCCCAUAAAGUUGUUCUCAGUUCGGAUUGUAGUCUGCAACUCGACUACAUGAAGCUGGAAUCGCUAGUAAUCGUAGAUCAGCAUGCUACGGUGAAUACGUUCCCGGGUCUUGUACACACCGCCCGUCACACCACGAGAGUUUGUAACACCCGAAGCCGGUGGAGUAACCUUUUAGGAGCCAGCCGUCGAAGGUGGGACAAAUGAUUGGGGUGAAGUCGUAACAAGGUAGCCGUAUCGGAAGGUGCGGCUGG
This 1535-nucleotide ribosomal RNA is filed under the name Staphylococcus aureus. RNAcentral describes it as "partial 16S ribosomal RNA". It matches the Rfam family "Bacterial small subunit ribosomal RNA". The record is from RNAcentral. Lineage: Bacteria; Bacillati; Bacillota; Bacilli; Caryophanales; Staphylococcaceae.